Molecule: ribosomal RNA, 305 nt
Filed under: uncultured bacterium
Lineage: Bacteria
Description: bacterial SSU rRNA
Rfam family: Bacterial small subunit ribosomal RNA
Source: RNAcentral
GCCUACGGGGGGCAGCAGUAGGGAAUCUUCCACAAUGGGCGAAAGCCUGAUGGAGCAACGCCGCGUGGGUGAAGAAGGUCUUCGGAUCGUAAAACCCUGUUGUUAGAGAAGAAAGUGCGUGAGAGUAACUGUUCACGUUUCGACGGUAUCUAACCAGAAAGCCACGGCUAACUACGUGCCAGCAGCCGCGGUAAUACGUAGGUGGCAAGCGUUAUCCGGAUUUAUUGGGCGUACAGGGAACGCAGGCGGUCUUUUAAGUCUGAUGUGAAAGCCUUCGGCUUAACCGGAGUAGUGCAUUGGAAACU